RNAcentral lists this ribosomal RNA (508 nucleotides) under Serripes groenlandicus. RNAcentral describes it as "SSU rRNA". It matches the Rfam family "Eukaryotic small subunit ribosomal RNA", at positions 1299 to 1810 of the family's 1831-position model. The record is from RNAcentral. Lineage: Eukaryota; Metazoa; Mollusca; Bivalvia; Cardiida; Cardiidae.
UUUUGGAGUGAUUUGUCUGGUUAAUUCCGAUAACGAACGAGACUCUCGCCUGCUAAAUAGUUCGGGGACGCCUAAUGCGCGUCCCCGCUAGAACUUCUUAGAGGUACAAGUGGCGUUUAGCCACACGAAACGGAGCAAUAACAGGUCUGUGAUGCCCUUAGAUGUCCGGGGCCGCACAUGUGCUACAAUGGAUGCACCAGCGUGUAUCAUACUCGCCCGAAAGGGUAGGGGAAUCCGCUGAACCGCAUUCUCGGUUGGGAUUGGGGAUUGCAAUUAUUUCCCAUGAACGCGGAAUCCCUCGUAGGCGCCAGUCAUCAGCUGGCGUCGAUUCAGUCCCUGCCCUUUGUACACACCGCCCGUCGCUACUACCGAUCGCUCUUGUUAAUGAGCCUGACGGAUGGGACCCGGUGAGCGGGCUUAACCGCCUGCGAGCUCUGGUGUUUGCCCAGAAGUCCGGCGAAUUAUCCGGGGUAGAGGAAGUAAAAGUCGUAACAAGGUUUCCGUAGGU